RNAcentral lists this ribosomal RNA (1455 nucleotides) under uncultured archaeon. Its description in RNAcentral is "bacterial SSU rRNA". It matches the Rfam family "Archaeal small subunit ribosomal RNA". The record is from RNAcentral.
UCCCGUUGAUCCUGCGGGAGAUGGCUGCUAGUGGGAUUCGAUUAAGCCAUGCAAGUCAGAUAGCAAUAUCGGCGGAAUGCUCAGUAACACGUCGGUAACGUGCCCUAUGGUCAGGGAUAAUCUCGGGAAACUGAGUGUAACACCUGGUGGGAGAACAAGACUGGAAUGUCUGUUCUCCGAAACUCGUGCCAUAGGAUCGGCCGGCGGCGGAUUAGGCUGUUGGUGGGGUAACGGCCCACCAAACCAAAGAUCCGUACGGGCCAUGAGAGUGGUAGCCCGGAGAGGGACACUGAGAUACUGGUCCCAGCCCUACGGGGUGCAGCAGGCGCGAAACCUCCACAAUGCACGAAAGUGUGAUGGGGGAAUCCCACGUGCUCAUGUUUUACAUGGGCUUUUGUUGAAUUUAGGGAGUUCGGCGAAUAAGGGGUGGGCAAGACCGGUGCCAGCCGCCGCGGUAACCCCGGCGCCCCGAGUGGCCAUCGCGAUUAUUGGGCCUAAAGCGUCCGUAGCCUGUUCGGCAAAUCUCUUGUGAAAUCGUUGCGCUUAACGUGACGGCGCGCAGGAAACACUACCGAACUCGGGACCGGGAGGGGUUAGAGGUAUGUCGUGGGGACUGGUAAAAUGGGAUAAUCCACGAUAGACCACCGAUGGCGAAGGCAUCUAACCAGAACGGGUCCGACGGUGAGGGACGAAAGCCAGGGGAGCAAACCGGAUUAGAUACCCGAGUAGUCCUGGCCGUAAACGCUGUGAGCUAGGUGUCGCCUAUCCCAUGAGGAUGGGCGGUGUCGAAAUGAAGAUGCUAAGCUCACCGCCUGGGAAGUACGGUCGCAAGACUGAAACUUUAAGGAAUUGGCGGGGGCGCACACAAGGGGUGCGGCGUGCGGUUUAAUCCAACUCAACGCGGAGAAUCUUACUAGGAGCGACGGCAGGAUGAAGGCCAGGCUGAAGACCUUGCCCGACGAGCCGAGAGGUAGUGCAUGGCCGUCGCCAGCUCGUGCUGUAAAGUGUCCAGUUAAGUCUGGUAACGAGCGAGACCUGUACCCACAGUUGCUAACAGCGCUUGCGGACUGAGCACACUGUGGGGACUGCUUUCGUAAGGAAGAGGAAGGUGCAGGCAACGGUAGGUCUGUAUGCUCCGAAUCUCCUAGGCUACACGCGCGCAACAAUGGUAAGGACAAUGGGCUGCGACCCCGAAAGGGGAAGCCAAUCCUCAAAACCUUAUCGUAGUCCGGAUCGAGGCUUGCAACUCAGCCUCGUGACGUCGGAAUCCCUAGUAAUCCACUUUCACCAUAUGUGGGUGAAUAUGUCCCUGCGCCUUGCACACACCGCCCGUCAAACCAACCGAGCAGGGUCUCGGUAAAGCACCGCUUCUUGGCGUUGCUGAAUCGAGGCUCAGUGAGGUGGGUUAAGUCGUCACAAGGUCACCGUAGGGGAACCUGCGGUGGGAUCACCUCC